This 232-nucleotide unclassified non-coding RNA is filed under the name Hevea brasiliensis (rubber tree). Lineage: Eukaryota; Viridiplantae; Streptophyta; Magnoliopsida; Malpighiales; Euphorbiaceae. The record is from RNAcentral.
AAAAAGAAAAGAAAAGAGACAUGGUGGGAGUUCAUAAUUUAUAUACAGUAGAUGAGAAUAAUAACCCAAAUAUGGUGUUGGAAAUGGCCUUUUGUGGGUUACAGUUACCAAAUCAUCUUAAGAAGCCUUCUUCGGGCGGUAACGUUUGGCACAGACAAUAUAAACCAACAAGUUCAAGAAGCUCAGUCCAGCCAACAGCCAGAAGAAGAAAUCCAAAUGGCCCUCAUUUAAG